RNAcentral lists this ribosomal RNA (655 nucleotides) under Steccherinum bourdotii. RNAcentral's name for it is "eukaryotic LSU rRNA". The stretch from base 217 to 370 matches the Rfam family "5.8S ribosomal RNA". The record is from RNAcentral. Lineage: Eukaryota; Fungi; Basidiomycota; Agaricomycetes; Polyporales; Steccherinaceae.
AGGGUAACUGCGGAGGAUCAUUAAUGAAUGAAUUGAGUGGGGUUGUAGCUGGCCUUUCACCGGGCAUGUGCACACCUCAUUCGACCACCUUCUACACCCCUGUGCACUUCUCAUGAGUUGGGCCGCGUCUGAAACACGACAAAGUCCGGCUCGUGUGUUUUAUACAAACGAAUCAUGUUACAGAAUGUCACUACCAUGCUUUGAAGCAUAUAAUACAACUUUCAACAACGGAUCUCUUGGCUCUCGCAUCGAUGAAGAACGCAGCGAAAUGCGAUAAGUAAUGUGAAUUGCAGAAUUCAGUGAAUCAUCGAAUCUUUGAACGCACCUUGCGCUCCUUGGUAUUCCGAGGAGCAUGCUUGUUUGAGUGUCAUGGUCUUCUCAACCCUUCCGUCUUUUUCACCGGAGACUGUCGGGCUUGGAUGUGGAGGUCUUGCAGGCAUCUGGAUCUUUUGAUUCAGAAGUCGGCUCCUCUGAAAUGCAUUAGCUUGAAUAGUACCAAGCAUGAUUCAGCGUGAUAAUUGUCUACGUUGCUUCGUCUCGGUGAAUUAAAUGUUCAAGCUUCUAACCGUCCCUCGGGACAAUCUCUGAACAUCUGACCUCAAAUCAAGUAGGACUACCCGCUGAACUUAAGCAUAUCAAAAAGCGGGAAGAAAAU